CCAUCGUCUUCCUGCUCCGACUCCAGGCCACGAGCUGCUCCCCACCAAUGGCUCCGCCCCGCGCCUCCUCGCGGCUAUGCCGCCGGCGAUGUGCGCCGCCCCCGGCCGCGCGUCGCUUUCCUCUUCCCGGCAACGCGCCGCUCGCCUCGUCCCGCCCACAUGCCCCAGCGACUCCUCCCUGCUCCACUCCCGACGAGUCGCGCUGCCCCUGGUCACGUUGGGACAUGGGAUAGGUGGGGAGGGUUGGAGUUAAACUCCAUAUCCCUGGCCACGUUUUCUAAUCCGCAACAGCAGUGAACAACGAUUUCAAGAAGCGGGCGGACGGCUCGGCUGAGGCGGCAGCCGCGGCCGGACUCCUCUGCAGCCUUAGGGUGGCGGCAGCUCGCCGCCUUAAAUCCAGGAGGGGGCGACCUGGACCACGCGCACGUCCUCCAGGGGUACGUAAUCGUCCAAAUCUCGCGUUGUUUAUUUUGGGCUCGAUGCUUGCUGGUUUGAUUUGGGGUUGGCAUCCAUUCCAGGUGAGUUGGAAUAAGAUUUACAUGUGCAAUGACCUAGGAUUAUGCAGAUAAUGGAAUUUGAGUUGGUGCGGAACAUGCACUGUAAUGAAGGAUGCUAACUUAUUGUCCUGAGGAGAGCUGCUGCUACCAUUGACCGGAAUGAAGACAAAGGAUCAAUUUAGGUGGUGAAUGGAAGACUUAAUUCGAGCAACCUGUAUAGAGCCAAAGAACAACGACAGUAAGAAGCAGAUUUCCUGUUCGUUUACAUGGGGCACUUCCUCGCUAGCCUUGAACAAGAUUUCAUCUGUUUUGUCAGACCAAAAGCUGUAGAAAGAACUCCGGUAAUCUGUCAAAGCUUACUUGGCCUGAAACUAUUUAUUUUGUCUUUAUCUUCGCAGGAUGAAGGAUUUAGCUUCUUCUUUGCCUUUUUAUUUUUUCCCAUGUAUCAUGUUACUCGUCAAAGCGAAGCAAUCAAAAAACUCCAGCAACAUACACUGAAAUUGUCACUUUUAAAAAGGAACGGGCAGAACCUAUGGCGUGGCUUGGUGGGUGCGGACGUCAAAUUGACCAUUAAUUAUCACCCAGCACCUCGAUCCAGAUUUCUUUCAUGGAAAAUUGAAAGCCUGUCAUGUGUACCUCUAAUGCAGAAAUAGGCAAGCACACGAGAAGAAUUGAUCACCGCUAUUAAAAUGGUCAAAUGGACUGGACUGACACGCUUACGCUGCAAAUGGUCUGUGGCUUGUAACAGGGCACGAAUCUUGGCGGGGCUCAACGCACGGGAUAACCGAGGGUCGGGACUCCCGGGUGCUACCACGCCUUUCCGUUUUCACAUAUAUUUCUCUAGCAAAGUGCAGCUGGGAGCGGUGUAUAGAAUGUUCAGUUUUGCAUGUUCUGAUGCCAGAUAGUGUUCAGCUUAAAGAGAUGGCUAUGAGGUGCGUGCAAGUACAAGCGUGAAAUGAGUGUCAAUUUGUUAUUCGCCAAAGUGAUAUGAAAACGAAGAUCCUGUAACUGAAGUUGCAUCCUCAGUCCUACAUAACACAUCCUUUUUCGCAGAAUAAAUGGUCACAACUUCUUCAUAUAUAUAGGCAGUGUUGCUGGAGGAAUGGCAAGAUGCCCAGUCAGAUGACCUAGGUCUGUGGCAAGUUGGUGGACCUCGACUACAGGAACAUCACCGAGGCAAUCACCGAGGCAAUCGAUAGUAGGUUGGUCAAUUGCUAACACAACAUGUUUUGAAUUGUAAAAUUAAGUUUGUUCUUUUGUUUAUUUUUUCUGAUUGAAAGUGCCAGUUGGUGUUGUUGUAUAAAAUAUUUUGAAUUACAAAAUUAAUUCUCCGGUUACACGCAUGGGAUUGUUUCUUCAACUUUUCCGCAGGUCACUGACUUAGCCACGCCACCAGGCAACUGUUCUAUACAUAGUAAGAGAGAGAGAGAGAGACAAAAUAUAUGUGAUUCAUGGAUGGAUGGAGACCAGGUUGGCCCAUCCAAGUUGCACAACUCCAGUUGAGCUGCUUUCUCCGGCCCAAGGUCCCAGCGGUGCAGCCAUUCUAUAAUCAAUCUUUCACGUUCACUCACCAAUUUAAUAAUCCCACUUCACUCUCUUACACACAAU
Molecule: long non-coding RNA, 2105 nt
Organism: Triticum aestivum (bread wheat)
Lineage: Eukaryota; Viridiplantae; Streptophyta; Magnoliopsida; Poales; Poaceae
Exons: 4
Source: RefSeq, a predicted model, not a curated record